Oryza sativa Japonica Group (Japanese rice) is the source of this 1247-nucleotide long non-coding RNA. RefSeq lists it as uncharacterized. NCBI's taxonomy places the organism in Eukaryota, Viridiplantae, Streptophyta, Magnoliopsida, Poales, Poaceae. The record is from RefSeq and is a predicted model, not a curated record.
CUACGAAAUAGCAAACACGAUAAACAUGCAUGCAGAGAGCAAGCUAGCUAAUUCGGAAACCACACGGAAAAUAUUGAACAAUAGUUUGUCCCAAAAAAAAAAUACUUCAAGAGAUAUCCCGCCUCUUCAACUUAUAUAUUAUGUACCGUGAUAGGAAUGUGGCAUGCAUGGUUAUCUCGCCUCAUUCUCAGUCAACGAUUUCAUCAGCCUGGAUAUAACUAAUUUAUCACCGACUCAGAUUGAAUCAGUCGUGUUGAAAAAUUGACAUAUUAUUCAGCGGGAAAAUUAAUAACCCUUCUUAAUUCUUAUGUGCCUAGGUAGCUUAACUUGUCAAGGGAUUUAAAUACUCCUACCAUGCAAGUAGCUAGCAUAGCCAAGCUACACACACUAUCUGCAGCAGCGAACUGAAGUGAAUCCGGCGAAAAAAUUUCUGAUCUCUGAAGCACCAUGGAAGCUACUGCUCGACUUCGCGUGGUGGCAAUCCUACUGAUGUCGUCGCUCUUGCUGUCGCCGCCGUUUCUUCUCGCCGACGGCUCAUCAGGAGGAGGUAGCAGAGGCCGGGAGAUGAAGCACGAUGAUGGCCAUCUGGUUAUUGCUCCAAGAAAAUUGACAUGGCCUCGUCGAGUUCUAAACUCUGGCGAUCAACCGAACCACGACCCGAUACAUAACUCUCCUAUCUCCCCAGGAAGAAGCAAAAAUGAAGUCAGGCCUGGCAAUUGAUGAGAGAGUAUCCAUAAACACAACCACAUAAAGGAUUGGCAUUUAAAUUUUUGCUGGAAACAGAUACUCUGCAUUUCUGCUAUCUGACUUUGAGUGGUUGAAAUGUGGAUCUCACAACCAAUGGCCCUAUGUGUCAAUGAUCCAAGUAAAAAAAAAAAAAGUACUGUACAGAGGAGACUCAUCAUUUUCGUUGACAGCCUAAAACAGUCCAGGAAGAGUUUUUUUUUUCUUCUUAGUUUUUUUCUUGGGUGUGUGGUCUAAAAGAACAACGGCAGUAGCCCUGGUUAUUCAGUUAUGAUGUUGUUAUUGAAAUUAUUUUACGGAUGUCUGUUCAUUAGAAUUUAGUGGUAAAAAAAGAUAUUUUCAUAGGCACCCUCUUACAUUGCACAUACAGUCAGCAAGAGCAAUUGUGCCUAUGGAAGCCAAUUUCUCGUUGAGCGCAAUUCCUAUUUUAGUUAUCCAAAACCCCUAAUAAAGCAUGACAAAAGAUGGACAAUUAAGCCAUUGAUAUAACGUUUUUCACGACA